ACCGGUAUAGCUCAGUUGGCAGAGCAAGGGAUUGUUAAUCCCUAGGUCAUUGGUUCGAGUCCAGUUACCGGUGC
RNAcentral lists this transfer RNA (74 nucleotides) under Microbacterium phage Triscuit. RNAcentral describes it as "tRNA-Asn". It matches the Rfam family "tRNA". From Rfam's summary of the family: Transfer RNA (tRNA) molecules are approximately 80 nucleotides in length. Their secondary structure includes four short double-helical elements and three loops (D, anti-codon, and T loops). The record is from RNAcentral. Lineage: Duplodnaviria; Heunggongvirae; Uroviricota; Caudoviricetes.